CCUCUUGCUCCAUAUCUCCAACCGCCCUCCUCCUCCAUAUCGAUCGCUUUUUCUUGCUCCACCACCAUCUUAAACAAGCGGUAUUUGAGACUGCAUCCAAGGAGGAUGCAUCAAUGAGGUUGUCACAUGAGGGGAAACAAGGCGAACCAGACCCUCAUAUGCUUUCUACAUAGGAGAACAUCACUCUCACGCAGAACGUAAUGGGACAUAAUAGGAGAAGAAGAUAUCAUCUGUAUGGUGUUGGAGCUUCACCCGACAUAAGCAUAAGAUCAUCCACAGCAUCCUCCACGUCAUCUACAAUAACGAGAGCAGCCCCAAGCAGUUUUCAAGCUAUGCCAUUUAUCGCACGCAUCUCCGUGUAUUUGUUUGAUAAGAUUAAUUCGGAGCUGUAUAUUUAGGUGACUACUGAGAUGACUAGAGUUGCGAGAAUGGCCAACUCAAUGGAUAAUCUCAUGGGGUA
Long non-coding RNA from Asparagus officinalis (garden asparagus), 460 nucleotides. RefSeq lists it as uncharacterized. The record is from RefSeq and is a predicted model, not a curated record. NCBI's taxonomy places the organism in Eukaryota, Viridiplantae, Streptophyta, Magnoliopsida, Asparagales, Asparagaceae. The transcript has 3 exons.